RNAcentral lists this ribosomal RNA (460 nucleotides) under uncultured bacterium. RNAcentral describes it as "partial 16S ribosomal RNA". It matches the Rfam family "Bacterial small subunit ribosomal RNA", at positions 338 to 795 of the family's 1533-position model. The record is from RNAcentral.
CCUACGGGCGGCAGCAGUGAGGAAUAUUGGACAAUGGACGAGAGUCUGAACCAGCCAAGCAGCGUGAAUGAUGACUGCCCUAUGGGUUGUAAACUUCUUUUAUGUGGGAAUAAAACGUUCCACGUGUGGGAUUUUGUAUGUACCAUAUGAAUAAGGAUCGGCUAACUCCGUGCCAGCAGCCGCGGUAAUACGGAGGAUCCGAGCGUUAUCCGGAUUUAUUGGGUUUAAAGGGAGCGUAGGUGGAUUGUUAAGUCAGUUGUGAAAGUUUGCGGCUCAACCGUAAAAUUGCAGUUGAAACUGGCAGUCUUGAGUACAGUAGAGGUGGGCGGAAUUCGUGGUGUAGCGGUGAAAUGCUUAGAUAUCACGAAGAACUCCGAUUGCGAAGGCAGUUCACUGGACUGCAACUGACACUGAGGUUCGAAAGUGUGGGUAUCAAACAGGAUUAGAUACCCCUGUAGUC